RNAcentral lists this transfer RNA (76 nucleotides) under Escherichia coli. Its description in RNAcentral is "tRNA-Lys". It matches the Rfam family "tRNA". From Rfam's summary of the family: Transfer RNA (tRNA) molecules are approximately 80 nucleotides in length. Their secondary structure includes four short double-helical elements and three loops (D, anti-codon, and T loops). The record is from RNAcentral. RNAcentral also lists the same sequence under 4 other names. Lineage: Bacteria; Pseudomonadati; Pseudomonadota; Gammaproteobacteria; Enterobacterales; Enterobacteriaceae.
GGGUCGUUAGCUCAGUUGGUAGAGCAGUUGACUUUUAAUCAAUUGAUCGCAGGUUCGAAUCCUGCACGACCCACCA